This is a long non-coding RNA of Cavia porcellus (domestic guinea pig), 1955 nucleotides long. Lineage: Eukaryota; Metazoa; Chordata; Mammalia; Rodentia; Caviidae. The record is from Ensembl.
AUGAUUUGGCCCUCUUGUCUGGCUGGAAUUUUCACCUUCUCUUCUUCUUGGAAUCUUCAGUCAUCUACACCCCAAGUUGGCCCGAGCCCCUGGUUCCUGUCUUCGGAGACCCCUCCACCCUUUGCGAGUAGGAAUCCCGGAACUGACUUUUGCCCUGGACAUUUUGACUACCCCAUACCUUUCUUCAGGCCCACCUUUCCAGAUUUUCAGCCAAGACAGGCAAACACUAAAAAUCCUUCCCGCGGGCGGGCGGGCAGACAGGCGGAGAGGACCGGCCUGCGGACCAUCGCGGCGCCUUUCCUCCUUUACCUCGGUUAUGCAGUCGACUGUGGGCCUCAGGAGGAGGGCUGCUGGAAUGGAGGUGUACGGUGUUCGAGCGGUGCGCCCUGGGUGGGAGAGCCGUAUGGGGCCAGAGGAUUCUCCGUCGGCUGGAUUACUAGACCGCUGCUCCAGACCCAAUCCGGAGGAGAGGUGGACCCGGCUUGCCAGCGCCACGGCCCUUCGGGAGCUUCAGUUCAGACCUUCCCGGUGUUUGGGGAGCUCACUGAGCCGUGCAGAGUAGCAACGCCCGGCUUCUGCUCCAUCGAAUUAUUUAAAUGUAAAAGAAUCUGCACGCGUGCUUCUAAAAUGUUCUUGGUGAUCAGGCAGAAAUAACAACAACAAAGACAUGGCCCCGGGUCGCACAGCUGUUCACCAAGGAGCUGCCCAGCUCUCCGCCUCUCCGAGCUGUGUAGAUAUCUGCAGUCAACCGAAUCCGAGUUGCAAAAGCAGCCCUCAUCUGAUUCCUCGCCCUCUGCCCUGCUGACCCACAUCCCCUUCUCCAAGCCGCAUUCCUGCGGCCCUAGCAAAGACCCCGGUGGAUGGAUGCUUCCAGAACGCAAGUGUUCCAAGCAGCAGCCGAGAACCGAGUUUUGACCGACUUUGGGUCAUUGGGACUGAGAUGCCCUCCAUGCGCUCGGCUCCACGUCCCUCCGCCCCAAGGAGGCCCAGGACUGUGGUUUCUCUUUGCUUCCGCCCAGUCCUGCCCACAUGGAGGCUUGGCGGGCUUCCCCCACAUGAAGCCCACGGCUCUGAGCCUCAGUUUCCCUGUAAUUUUCAGAUCGGAGAUACAGCAGACAAAUGGGGACAUGUUCAAAUGGGUUGCUUGGUGGCAGGGCUGAAGUUUUGUGUGUCCAGGGCCCACGACUGGAAUCAGGGCUGCCAGCUCAGCCCUCUCCUGGGGCAGAAGUCAGAAGAAACCCGGGGGGGGGGGGCUCACUUCUCACACUAGCAGGGGUGCUGCGGCUCAGUCUCCCAAGGGCGGGCCACAGGCUGGUGGAGCUCAGCGGGCAGAGGGGGAUAAGUGAGGCUCUGCAAGGGGCCAGUGGUCUGCUGGGUUGCAACAAAAUAUACUAAACCUAGGGGCUGGCAUGUGGAGCCUGGGAGCUUUGGUUUCUGUUUUAUUUUAUUUUGUUGUGUCGUGUUGUGUUUUGAGACAGUCUCACCGUGUAUUUUGGAUUGGUCUUGAACUCACUAUGUAGCCCAGGCUGACCUCAACUCCAGGCAAUCCUCCUGCUUCAGCCUCCCUUGUGCAGAGAUUACAGGUGUGUACCACCAUGCUCAGCAGAGCUAGAAGCUUUGGAUAUAUCCUUAACCUCUCUAAGCCUCAGCUGCCUCCUCUGAAAAAUGGGAUAACAGUUCAAGCCCGAGGUGACCGUGGCAGGAAGGCAGUGAGGUCAGGGGUGCACCUUUCUCAGCCCAGCCUCUUAGGAAUCUCGGAGUGGGGAGCACAGAGUCAGCGCCCCCGGAAUCCUUAGAUAUUUGGGUGUGGUCGACAGCACCCAGUGUUUGGGGUUGGAAUCUUUUCAGGUUUGGGAGUGUUUGCAGAAGGAGCUGUGUUACCUCAGGUACACUCUGUACACACAGCCUGGAGCGAAUUGUAUACCACCUUUCUCUACGCCCCAGGCUUCUCUUUU